AGUGAACGCUGGCGGUAGGCCUAACACGUGCAAGUCGAACGGCAGCACAGGAGAGCUUGCUCUCUGGGUGGCGAGUGGCGGACGGGUGAGGAAUACAUCGGAAUCUACCUUUUCGUGGGGGAUAACGUAGGGAAACUUACGCUAAUACCGCAUAAGACCUUCGGGUGAAAGCAGGGGACCUUCGGGCCUUGCGCGGAUAGAUGAGCCGAUGUCGGAUUAGCUUGUUGGCGGGGUAAAAGCCCACCAAGGCGACGAUCCGUAGCUGGUCUGAGAGGAUGAUCAGCCACACUGGAACUGAGACACGGUCCAGACUCCUACGGGAGGCAGCAGUGGGGAAUAUUGGACAAUGGGCGCAAGCCUGAUCCAGCCAUACCGCGUGGGUGAAGAAGGCCUUCGGGUUGUAAAGCCCUUUUGUUGGGAAAGAAAACUUGCGGGCUAAUACCCAGCAAGUCUGACGGUACCCAAAGAAUAAGCACCGGCUAACUUCGUG
This 490-nucleotide ribosomal RNA is filed under the name uncultured bacterium. Its description in RNAcentral is "bacterial SSU rRNA". It matches the Rfam family "Bacterial small subunit ribosomal RNA", at positions 29 to 507 of the family's 1533-position model. The record is from RNAcentral.